AGAGUUUGAUCCUGGCUCAGGAUGAACGCUAGCGGCAGGCUUAACACAUGCAAGUCGAGGGGCAGCAUAAGGGUAGCAAUAUCUUUGAUGGCGACCGGCGGAAGGGUGCGUAACGCGUGAGCAACAUGCCCGUAUCCGGGGGAUAACCGAGAGAAAUUUCGACUAAUACCCCAUAACAACAAUGGAGGCAUCUCCGAUGUUUGAAAGUUUCGACAGAUACGGAUUGGUUCGCGUGGCAUUAGCUAGUUGGAGUGGUAACGGCACACCAAGGCGACGAUGCCUAGGGGUUCUGAGAGGAAGGUCCCCCACAUUGGAACUGAGACACGGUCCAAACUCCUACGGGAGGCAGCAGUGAGGAAUAUUGGUCAAUGGACGGAAGUCUGAACCAGCCAUGCCGCGUGCAGGAAUAAGGCCCUAUGGGUCGUAAACUGCUUUUGUGGUGGAGCAAUAAGGCGUACGUGUACGUCGAUGAGAGUACAUCACGAAUAAGCAUCGGCUAACUCCGUGCCAGCAGCCGCGGUAAUACGGAGGAUGCAAGCGUUAUCCGGAUUUAUUGGGUUUAAAGGGUGCGUAGGCUGUGUGGCAAGUCAGCGGUGAAAUGCCGGAGCUUAACUCCGGAACUGCCGUUGAUACUGUCAUGCUGGAAUACGGAUGCCGUGGGAGGAAUGAGUAGUGUAGCGGUGAAAUGCAUAGAUAUUACUCAGAACACCGAUUGCGAAGGCAUCUCACGAAUCCGUCAUUGACGCUGAGGCACGAAAGCGUGGGGAUCAAACAGGAUUAGAUACCCUGGUAGUCCACGCAGUA
Molecule: ribosomal RNA, 804 nt
Filed under: uncultured bacterium
Lineage: Bacteria
Description: bacterial SSU rRNA
Rfam family: Bacterial small subunit ribosomal RNA
Source: RNAcentral